UGGAAGACAGAUACACGAGAUUUAAAAUUGUUAGACUUCUCGUCACAAAUUCUUCCUAGAAAGAAUUUGCCUUCUGAUGACUGUGACUUGUGAAGUUUUAAUUUACAGACAGAUACGGGGCAUACAAAU
Non-coding RNA from Hylaeus volcanicus, 129 nucleotides. RefSeq annotates it as small Cajal body-specific RNA 8. The record is from RefSeq and is a predicted model, not a curated record. The transcript has a single exon. Lineage: Eukaryota; Metazoa; Arthropoda; Insecta; Hymenoptera; Colletidae.